RNAcentral lists this ribosomal RNA (254 nucleotides) under uncultured bacterium. RNAcentral's name for it is "partial 16S ribosomal RNA". It matches the Rfam family "Bacterial small subunit ribosomal RNA", at positions 524 to 776 of the family's 1533-position model. The record is from RNAcentral.
CACGUAGGGCGCAAGCGUUGUCCGGAAUUAUUGGGCGUAAAGAGCUCGUAGGCGGUUUGUCGCGUCUGCUGUGAAAACCCGAGGCUCAACCUCGGGCCUGCAGUGGGUACGGGGCAGACUAGAGUGCGGUAGGGGAGAUUGGAAUUCCUGGUGUAGCGGUGAAAUGCGCAGAUAUCAGGAGGAACACCGGUGGCGAAGGCGGGUCUCUGGGCCGAAACUGACGCUGAGGAGCGAAAGCGUGGGGAGCAAACAGG